RNAcentral lists this ribosomal RNA (448 nucleotides) under uncultured bacterium. RNAcentral describes it as "bacterial SSU rRNA". It matches the Rfam family "Bacterial small subunit ribosomal RNA", at positions 15 to 507 of the family's 1533-position model. The record is from RNAcentral.
GAUCCUGGCUCAGAACGAACGCUGGCGGCAUGCCUAACACAUGCAAGUCGAACGCCUGUAGCAAUACAGGAGUGGCAGACGGGUGCAAAACGCGUGGAAACCUAUCCUUGGGUUCGGAAUAACCGCGGGAAACUGCGGCUAAUACCGGAUACGUCCUUCGGGAGAAAGAUUUAUCGCCCAUUGAGGGGUCCGCGUCUGAUUAGCUAGUUGGUGAGGUAAUGGCUCACCAAGGCGACGAUCAGUAGCUGGUCUGAGAGGAUGAUCAGCCACACUGGAACUGAGACACGGUCCAGACUCCUACGGGAGGCAGCAGUGGGGAAUAUUGGACAAUGGGCGCAAGCCUGAUCCAGCAAUGCCGCGUGGGUGAUGAAGGCCUUCGGGUUGUAAAGCCCUUUUGGCGGGGACGAUGAUGACGGUACCCGCCGAAUAAGCUCCGGCUAACUUCGUG